GUAGAUGAAAAGAAUGCCUUUAUUUUAUUUGUUUAUUUUUAUGUGGUGCUGAGGAUCAAAGCCAGUGCCUCAAGCAUGCUAGAGAAGCACUCUGCCACUGAGCUACAGCCCCAGCCCUAUUGAAAUUUGUUUUUAAACUAUAAAUCCGGGCAACUCAGAGUAUGAUUUCCUGGUUUCUUGGGAGGGGCGGCCCAGCCACACAGCUCCCCUCCUCCUGGACGCCCGCUGCUCCCCCACGGCCUAGGGUCAGGAGCCCUUUCUUCAAGGGGCAAUGCUCCUCCCAUUCCCGGUCAUCCUCAAGUCGUAAUAAAAGCAGUCCUGAGCUAACACUCCCACGAGGCCUUGCUGGAACGUGGGGAGCAUCCCCACUGGUCAUAAAAGCCACCCUCUGGCCGUGCGUAGAGCCCUGCCUGCCUCUGCUGUGCGCUCGCUUGGUCACUCUGCCCGAGGGGCGGGCCCCUAGUCUGUGCGGGCUUCCCGGGAGAGCCGGGGCCGUUUCAGGAGCGGGCAAGGUUCCCGGCACCAAACAAGACCCACUUGAGGACCGUUCCGGGUGGCCACAACACCCCAGAGGACCCCUGGUGCCGCCGCUGUCCCUGGUGCUGACUGGCCUGGCCCGUGGACUCACCCCUCCCAGGAGGCGGUGGGGCCAAGGUCAGGGGCGAGCUCGGCGGAGAGGCUUCCCGGAGGAGGCCGAGGUCAGACUAAGGCAGGUGUUCCAGGAGGCCAACCACCGUCGCCAGGCGUCCUCCACUGCCCAGGACCCAGCAGAGGGGCCUGGCCAAGGAAGGCUUGUGCGGGAGUUUCCGACGCGCCUUGCUGUGGCUGUUCUGUUUUUACUGGCCGCGUUUUCUUCUGGGUGAAAACAUUUCCCAGGACCCGCCCAGGCCUCGCCUUGAGGCUCCCCAUUUCUGAGGAAGAGGCUGAGAUGGAGGCUGCGCGGGCUGCGGGAGGGGCGGCGGCCAGGCUGCGGUGAGAACCAGGGCAGUACGCGGCCUGGGCGGUGGACGCGGGGGCGACAGGCGGCCUCCUCGCCGCCCCGGGGAGGGCAGGCUUCCGCUUUGUGACGGUCCCCGCGGGGCAGGAAGCAGCGCGCGGCCUCCGGGAACCCCCG
Molecule: long non-coding RNA, 1114 nt
Filed under: Marmota monax (woodchuck)
Lineage: Eukaryota; Metazoa; Chordata; Mammalia; Rodentia; Sciuridae
Source: RNAcentral